Molecule: long non-coding RNA, 213 nt
Filed under: Sorghum bicolor (sorghum)
Lineage: Eukaryota; Viridiplantae; Streptophyta; Magnoliopsida; Poales; Poaceae
Description: long non-coding RNA (SBIC_LNC001300)
Source: RNAcentral
GUGGGGCAGGUGAGCAAGAAAGCGAAGGUUGAGGGCACGAGGACUGUUGUGGCAGAGGGAGAUGGGGUGCACGAUACUACAUGAGAGAGAAUGGGGAGAGAAAGAGUAGAAAGGAAGGGAGAAGGUGGAAACGGCCUGGGGCAAAAAUGAUAUUUCACCACUGUUGUGUACUUGUGUCUUCUCCUGAACUAGAAAUAAAUAUUUUAAUGAGCG